CCUACGGGGGGCUGCAGUGAGGAAUAUUCCACAAUGGGGGCAACCCUGAUGGAGCAACGCCGCGUGCAGGAUGAAGGCCUUCGGGUCGUAAACUGCUUUUGUAUAUGAAGAAUAUGACGGUAAUAUACGAAUAAGGAUCGGCUAACUCCGUGCCAGCAGCCGCGGUCAUACGGAGGAUCCGAGCGUUAUCCGGAGUGACUGGGCGUAAAGAGUUGCGUAGGUGGACAAGUUAGCGAAUAGUGAAACCUGGUGGCUCAACCACACAGACUAUUAUUCGAACUGCUUGUCUUGAGAAUGGUAGAGGUAACUGGAAUUUCUAGUGUAGGAGUGAAAUCCGUAGAUAUUAGAAGGAACACCAAUGGCGUAGGCAGGUUACUGGACCAUUUCUGACACUAAGGCACGAAAGCGUGGGGAGCGAACCGGCUUAGAUACCCUUGUAGUC
Molecule: ribosomal RNA, 442 nt
Filed under: uncultured bacterium
Lineage: Bacteria
Description: bacterial SSU rRNA
Rfam family: Bacterial small subunit ribosomal RNA
Source: RNAcentral